AUGCUCCUCAUUCCAUGUCCUCUUCUUAAUCUGACUUGAAUUUCUGGCUAUUCCCUGUAGAUGUACUGUUGCAACUGUUUUUGAGCUAUCUUCAGCAAAAUUUUCCUUGGGUGAGAUAUUAAUGUAAUUGUUCAAUAGUUUCUGCAUUUGGGUGGAUCACCUUUCUUUGGAAUAGGCCUAAAUAUGGAUCUCUUCUGGUUGGCUGGCCAGGUAGCUGUCUUCCAAAUUUUUUUGCAUCGACAAGUGAGCACUUCCAUCACUACAUCAGUUUGUUGAAACCUCUCAGCUGGUAUCCUGUCGGUUCCUGGAGCCUUGUUUUACACCAGUGUCUUCAGUGUAGCUUAGGCUUCUUCCUUCAGUACUGCUGGUUCUUGAUAAUAUGCUACCUCCUGAAAUGGUUGAACAUCCACCAGUUCUUUUGGUACAGUGACUGUGUAUUCCUUCUAUCUGCUUUCGAUGCUUCCUGAGUCGUUCAGUAUUUUGCCCAUAGAGUCAUUUACUAUUGAAACUUGAGGCUUGAAUUUUUUCUUCAGUUCUUUCAGCUUGAGAAAUGCCAUUUGGUUUUCUUACUCCAGGUCUUUGCACAUGUCAUUAUAAUACUUUACUUUGCCUUCUUGAGAUAGCCUUUGAAAUUUGCUGUUCAGCUCUUUUACUUCAUCAUCUCGUCAUCAUUCUGACUCACAGCCAGUCUAAAACAGUCUAAAAUUUACCCCUGACUUUUUUGUAAGAAAAUAAUUUAUGCUGUAGGGAAUAAACUCAACCUCGGCACUAUGGACAGUUUAGACCAAAUAAUUUUUUGUUGUGGGUGGCUCUGCUGUUCCUUUUGGGAUGUUGAGCAUUAUCCCUGCCCCUAUCAACUAGAUGGCAUUAGUACACUCCCCACAGUGGUGACAAUCGAAAGUGUCUCCAGAUAUUCUCAAAUAUCCCUGGAGUGGGGGGAGGGAAAAAAUUGCCCAGGUUGAAUGAAAAACACAGCUCUUGGAGGACUUGAUGAGGCAAAACUGCCUAAAAAAACAGAUUUCCUGUGUCUGUAGAGGUUUUUUUUUUCUCCUUGUGGUGUUUUAUCUUCAAGUGCCGAGGAACCGAUUGAGCAUGUGAUUUUCAGAUGUUAAAGGAGUCCAUUUAUAGCUAAUCAGUUAGCUUUAAUGUGAUUCGAACAAUGCAGGUUCUUGUAUCACAAAGGAGUUAAAGACAUCAAAUGACACACAAUUGUACCAUUAACUCCACCCUCUACCAGAUUAUCUGGCAAAGUAUGCCAUUUAAAGGAUUAGGGGCACAAGUUUCCUGGGGGAGCUGCCUUAUAUUUUGUUCUUAUUGGCAAUGAAAGAGGAAAUGUACCUUGUCCCAAAACACUGGCAGUUCGAAUUCACCAACUGCUCCUUGGAAAUCCUAUGGGGCAGUUCUACUCUGUCCUAUAGGGUUGCUCUGAGUUGGAAUUCUUUUAAAACACUAUCUUACACACAUGAUUUUCAAACUUUUUUUUUGUUUGUUUGUUUAAGCAGAAGUCUUUUUUUCCUUAACUGUUGCAAAAAUUCCUAGCAUAAAAGAGACUAAAAAAAUUAUUGAUAUUGUUUUUGUAAAGUCAAAUUUAUAGUAUUAUAAUAAACUUAUCCUAAAGUCAACAAAUCUUAAUAGAGACUUUUCCUAUGAACAUUGGUGUUUAAAAUCAAGAGUUAGGGGAGAUAGUUGCCGGGUUACAUAUGGUAAGUUUUGUCAUCCAAUUUAUUUCUGUAUUUUUUUUUUCUCUUUUUGAGCGACACAGUUUCAAGAAAAGUCAUAAUUCAUACUGAUGGGGUUUAGUAUUCUGAAUUUAUACUUCUAGAUAUGAAGACAGAAGCAGUCCUGAGUCUAAAAAAAAAAAAAAAAUUAGAGCUAUACGAUAUUAUUAUAUUAGAGCUAUAUUAACAAGUGAUACAUUUACAGUAAAUUCAAAUAUCUAUGUAAGAAUGGUAAAAGAAAUUAGCCGCUCAAGUUAACAUGUUUAUGUUUUCCUAUUUUGUAUAGGAUAUAUUUCAGUGUGAUCCCUGGUGGUGCAGUGGUUAAGACCUUGGCUGCUAACCAGAACGUCAGCAGUUUGAAUCCACCAGCUGCUCCUUAGAAACCCAAUGGGGCAGUUCUACUCUGUCCUGUAGGGUUGCUAUGAGUCCGAAUCCACUCCAUGGCAAUGGGUUCGGUUUUUUUGGUACCCAAAGAUCCUUCUGGAGUCUCUAGAAUGUUGGUCAAGGAAAGACUGCCCUUGACUCUGUACACUGUGUCCUGUCAGUAGCAGGAGUGCUUUUGGGUGACACUGAAGCUUGGGAAACUCAUCUGUCAUCAAGGUGGUAGAGAAACUGUUGAAAGAAAUACCCUUAUGACAUUCCAGUGAGCCAAUUUGUAUCAUUGAAUUACUGUCAGCAUUUCUCAAAAGUGAGCUAAGAAACUACUUCCCAAUGAUUCAAAGGGUGUGUGACUCUCACUGACCCAUAGUGACUAGAGGAGAAUUUGCUGGGUAGCUUUGUUGAAAGGCAGCUUAAGUCAGCUCUAAACCCCCACUCGGUGUUGGUCUCUGAAGGUCUCAUAGGUAUUGCCAUGUAGAGGUUUUUCAGGCAGUGUUAGCUGGCUAGUGCUCUCAUGUGCUCCAAGGAGUUCUGAAAUGAAACAAAAUUGGCUUAAUACUAAAUUGUAAAUGAGCUAGUGCUCUGAUGUUUGCACUUGCCUUGAAAAACAGGUUUAAAAGAUGUGGAAAUCUGUCCAUCAAGAUCACCGAAGAAAGAAAUUCAAAAGAAUAUGUCAUUAUCUCAGAUAGUUCUGCCAAUCCCUAUCUUUGGAAGUGAACAAAAGCUUGUUUGGCUUUUGUCUGGUCUUCCCCGUUUUUCAAAGCCCAGUUUAAGUUCUGUUUUGUCUAAGAAAGUUUCCUGGGUUGCUUCAGACUGUCUCACCUCCCCUUUACCGCUGCUUCCCCUUCAUCUGGCAACUUGCCUGUUAUAAUGAUUGCCUUUGCAAUGGUCAUUCCUUGUAAUCCUUACCAAGAGGUAAGUAUUAUUACAACAUUUUAUAGAUAAGCUGAUACAGGCUAACAGUGGUGUAUUUUUAACUGUGGGAUUAGCAUUACAUCACUCCUUCCUACCUAACCUAUAAGCCUCACAAGAACUGGAAUCGGGUUUCUUAUCUCUUGGUAUUUCAACUUUCCCCGUAUACUCAAAGGAACAAGUUGUUGAUGAUAAUGAUUGAUGUUACCUUCUAUCUACUCCAUGAAGGUGAGGGCCUUCUGGGUCAGUGGUAGAAUUCUCACCUCUCAUGCAGGAGACCUGGAUUUGAUUCCCAGCCAGCGCACCUCAUACUCAGCCAACACCCCAGCUACCAACCGUCUGUUAGUGGAGGUUUGCAUGUUGCUAUGAUGCUAUACAGGUUUUAGCGGGGCUUCCAGACUAAGACAGACUAGGAAGAAAGACCUGGUAAUCUACUUCUGAAAAUCUGAAAAUCAACGGUCCAAUCCCCAGCCUAUCAUGGGGACGGUGCAGGACUGGACAGUGUUUUGUUCUAUUGUCCGUGGGGUUGCCAUGAACAGAGAAGGCUGACUCCACGGCCAAGAACAACAGCAAACUCUGUGAAGACAGGGUUCUUAACUUAAAUACAUAUAAAUGCUACGGAGGUCAUCUUUUAAGCUGUGACAGCCAUAUGAAGUCAGGAAAAUAUAUUAAGUGUGAAGAGAAGAAAUGCUAAAUAUGUGGGACUUGACCAUUUUGAGAGUCCAUCAAUGUUGCUUUUGAAACUCAGGAAACUUUGCUCAGCAUUUUGUUUAAAAGAGGAAGAAAAUGUUUAAAAAGUGAGGCACAUUGUGACUAUUUGUAUAUUCUCUGGUUGAUUUCCUGCAUUACAUCUUUGAAAGUUUCCUGAUUUUCAUAGAUAUUCUGGUACUGAGUGGUAUUUCCUGUUUCAGCCCAGAAAAUAGGAUUUGAUUCUUACGGGAAGCAUCAGUACCAGCAUCAGCUGCAAUGACAAAGAUGUUGAAAGGGUGACUAGUACAUGGAAACACAUUUGAAUAUUGAUCUUAAAAUAAACCACACACACUGAGUAAAUACAUAAAUCUUUAUGAAUAACUAUGACCUCAUCAUAAAUUUAAGUCUGAUUUUUAUUGUCAAGAAUGUUCCUUUUAAAGUUAAUUCUUGCCUUGAAGAGUUGGCCAAAGAUCAUUUUUGUAUUUUCUGUUCUUGAAUACUUGAAUUGUUAGAUAUUGUGUGUGAAAAGGCCAUUCAAGGCAGAAUCAUGGAAAUUACAGACGGAAAAUUAGGUCAUUUUCCUUCUUUUUCAGUACAGGUUGCUUCCUUAUAGAAUACUCUCAAAUGCCUUUGUCCAUCCUUGUUUAAAAUUACACGAAUGGUGAGACCAUUACCAGUUCCCCUGGGAGAUUAUUCCAUCGGCUAAUGGGCCUUGCUGGCUGCAGGUAUGUUUUUUCUCUGAUUUUCAACCUCAAAUUUCUUUUGCUCAAUUUCAUCCCAUUACCGUUUGGACCACCUAUGCAGUUCCUCAUAGAAGAUUGCAAGGCGUUCUUUUUGUAGGAAAAGGAAGCCUCUGUCAAAGUCCGUUAAAGAAAAAAAAAAUCACACGGAGUCUCAUGUUGACCGUAGCUACAGAAGAUAGUUCAGAAGACUAAAUUCUCAGGCUCUAAUUGCCUAGUAAUAACUAAUCUUUUAUUUUAAAUUCAGUUGAAUGAUUUUUUUUUCCCCAAAUAAUUGGGGGAAUUCUGGUUUCCUUAAAGGAGUGGGAUGUGUGUAUGUAUGCGUGUUGGAGCUCCAUGAAUAAAAUAAGGAGAUAUUGAAGAUUUCCCCUACUCUUUGGCCUAGUGCUCCUUCUAACUUAUUUAUUUUGGGCUUAUUAGCCCUCACAUCCUUUCCCAUCAUCGAGAUAGCGAGAACAACAGGAAGCUAUCCACACAUACCUCUCCACAUUUCAACACGGAAUGCUCAGGAGAUCAAUUAUGAGGAACUGGGUCCUUUUACAUUUGGAGUGCAUAAUCCUGCUUUAUUAUGUGUGUGUAUAUCGAAAUCUCAUAAUGUGGUAUUAUGAUAGUGGGCAUUUCCUAAACAUAAUCACAAAACUGGAUUAGAAAAGGCUCAUACAUUCGUCUUUAAGUAGGUGGAAGAAAUAUUGGGCCCCUUCCCUUGGGCACACAUGAGGGCUCUCAUUCAUGGGGAAAUGAAAUAAGCGAUUUGACCGGUUUGGUGUUGGGUUGUCUAGAAUUCAUUCCCCAGUGAGUUAGACUUGUGUCAGUGUGUCCAGUUCAGACUUGUAUUUCUAUCCAUAACCUGGGCCUUGUGAGUCUGCCACAUCUCAGAGUAUGAGCUACUCAAGGCACAAGCUAUGUCUUAAUUGGUGUUCAUUACCCAGGGGUAGGCCCAGUGCCUGGCAGAUAUCAGGGGCUUAAUGUAUGUUUGGGGAUAAGGAAUUAUGAGACAUGUACAAAUUAGAAAAAGCAGAGAAGAACAGUCAUUUAGUAUUUUUAACAUUCAAUGCUGAUAAUUUUUAAUAUCCCUAAAUGAAAAAAGUGGUUCAAUAAUUAUGAUAUGAAAUGAAUAAUAAUAAUAGAAAAACAUAGAUAACAUUUUAUUAAAUUUGUUAUUUAUAAUCAUGCAUGUAAAUAAAUUUAACAUAAAACUAAAAUAACUAUUAUAGAACAAGACAUUUUAAUUACAUAGAUACAAAUUAAUAUACAAUGCAUUAAUCCAUUUCUCGAGAAAAGGGGAAAUUUUUAUAUUGCAGUGUUCUCUGUUCCAUUAUUUUAAACUUUUAAACACAACUCCAAGUGGUCACACAGAAAGGCAGGAUUGCAGUAACUCAAGAUCUCUUUCCUUGUCUUCACAAUCGUCAUUUAUUUUGAAUCCACUGUUUUAGAUGUAGGAAUAUGUAAUGCCCAGGGGGUUGGAAACACAAACUGUACUCUGGCGAGCUCAAAGGAUUCUGAAUCAUUUUGAACUUUCAAAAUGAGUGGGUAUAGCUGAGGCUCUGGGCAUACAAAUAGGAGUCCUUUGACUUAAUUUUCCAUGUAAAGCCCAAUGUUUAUUUUAGAAUAAUCUUUAUAUAUUUGAAGCUUGCAUAUAUUUUAUUAAAACUCAAUAGUAACUGCAGCAAUUGUUUAGAACUCGGACCAACAAAAGGUUUUUGGGGUGGGUGAGUAUUUUAUUAUUGACAUUGUUUAGAAUUGAUAGCUCAUGGUGAAGACAAAAAGCAGACUGACUUAGUUGCUUUUAUUAUUUUUUUUUAUGUUCUCUACAGACAAUGUAUUGCUUGCCACUGGGGCAGACCAUGCCCUUCAGCCUGUUCUUGGAACACCAUUGUGGAAGAGAUUAAUUUUGUUUUGAACAUAAUUUUUGAAAAACAAAUGUUUGAAAACUCAAGUUAUGCAGUAUAGUAUACUGUAUUUUAUGCAAAUAACUUAUGCCUUCUAUGUUUGUUUGCCAACUGCUCCCUCUCCCCUGCCAGAUAUUUUCAUAAGCGCUGCUAUGCCAUUUUUUUUUAAGUGUUGCUGUAAAGAAAAAUUAGCAUAGUACUUUCGAAAAUACCUGGGGGGGGGGGGGUGGAGUUAGGUGGGGUAGGGAGUGGUUGGCAAAUGUAGAAGGGGCACAUUAUUUGUGUAAAAAUAUGUUUUUUUGGCUUCUACAAUUAAUUAAUAGGUAUUUAAUAAAUGUUUUUUGAAUGUCUAACUAGAGGAGAACAUAGAGUUUGGAUGAGAUCCCUCAGAAAGAGGCAGACAAAAAGUAGCGUGCCAGUAGUAGGGCACGAGGGCAGAGUAGGAAGGGCAUCAGCAGUUUGGAAAGGGAAGUGAGCAGUAAAUCAAAGAACAAAUGUUAAGUUCAGUUGAUGAUUGUCCUGGGGUGUAUGUGAGAAGAAGAGAAGCAAGUCCAUUUUUCUAGGCUUAACUUCCCAUCUCAUACUUUUGAUUUCUACCUUUGACCAGAGUUAGCCAUACAUGCUUUCCCCAUUCUGCUGCCCAGUUUCUGGAAGUCCCCUCCCACUCUUCCUUCUGCAGCUUAUCUGCUUCUGUCAGGCAAUUCCAUGAUGAAACUGUGUAAAACGGGGAAGCACUAAAGUGUAUCUCAGCGUCAUCCACCAAACACAGUGCUAGAAGUAGGGAGUACUUUGUAUUAAAGUUUUUCUGACCCUCUGCUCAGCCUGAGUUUGCACUUGGUGAGCUGGAGCUGGCAGGGGAAAUCACCACCCUUUACAGACUUUUUUGUACACUUCCUCUCCAGGUGGAGCAAGGGUUCCAGUUACUGUCGAGUUGAUUCCAACUCACGGUGACCCCAUGUGUGUCCAAGUUGAACUUUGCUCCAUAUGGUUUUCAAUGGCUGAUCUUUUGGAAUUAGAUCACCAGGCCUUUCUUCUAAGGCACCCCUUGGUGAAUUCAAACCUCCAGCUUCUGGGUUAGCAGCCACGUGGAUUAACUCUUUGUACCAUCCAGGGACUCCAUGGAUCAAGGAUAGAUACGUACAAUUUUUGAGCUAGCUCAUUCUGUUGUAGUCCUCUCCAUCUUACUCAAGAACAAUCUAACACAAAUACAUGAGAAUGCUCUGUGACCUGUUUAAAUCUCAGUACCUCCAUUUCCUACUCACUAAUUAAAAAAAAAAGGAAAUCAACUUUGAUUGUUUUUUGUCACUAUUAAUAUACAAUAACAAAGAACUAUUUAAGGGGAGGAGCCCUGGUGACACAAUGGUUAAGAGCUCAGCUACUAACCAAAAGGUUGGUGGUUCAAAACCACCAGCCACUCCACGGGGGAAAGAUGUGACAGCCUAUUUUCGUAAAGAUUUACAGCCUUGGAACUCUAUGGGGCAGUUGUAUUCUGUCCUAUAGGCUUGCUAUGAGUUGGAAUCAAGUUGAUGGCAACAGGUUUGGUUUGAGUUUAUAGUCUGUUGUUUAUGGCCUACAUGAUCUUAAUCUUCAUAGACAAGUUUUGGAAUAAUGCCUGGUGUUAGGGGUGGUUCAAAUAGAACAUGUUGUUGAGGGAUGUCACUUUAUUCUUUCCAAGUCAGAAAGAGCCAAUGGAAGAACAGAUCGGGUCAUGAAACAACCACCAUUAUCUAAUUGGAGGUGCACUCUGAGACCAAGUGUUUACAUCCCAAGCUCACCAUUAUUGUAUUUAAUGAUUGGAAUGUUCACUGUCUUCAGCUCCUGCCACACCUUGUUUGGGUUACUCAUGUGCAAAGUGACUUUCAACAAAAUGAAGUAAGCGACACUGGGCAAAAUUAGAUGAUAUGUGAAUUAAAAGUAGUUUUAAAAAACAGAGAUCAUCAAAAAGUAUAAUGCAAUAUCUACCUAUUGACAUUUAGGUUACCAGGUGUGAUGGUUAAGGUUGUGUUUCAACUUGGCUGGGCCAUGAUUCUCAGUGGUUUGGCAGUUAUGUAAUGAUGUAGUUUGGUAGUUAUGUAAUGAUGUAAUCAUCCUCCAUGAUAUGACCAGCUGAUCAGUUGUAAGGGGAUUUUCUUUGGGCAUGUGGCCUGCAUCCAAUAUAUAUAUGGACGUCCUGGUAAAGCUCCCUUUCUUGCUCUGGAUCUUGCAUCUGGUUCAUCAUCAUCUGACCUCAGGUUCUUGGGACUUGAGCCAGUUGCCUGCUGUAUUGCCUGCCUAUCUUCGUAUUCGUAGGCCUCCAAAGCCUGUGAACCAACAGUCUGCUGCCUUACCUGCCGAUCUUGGAUUUGUCAGCCUUUGUAACCCAUGAGCCAGUGGCCUGCCAUCUGACCCGCUGAUCAUGGGUUUGUCAGCGCCUGCAGCUACAUUAGUCAGGAGAAUCCUUCAGCCUGAUGCCAGCCUCUAAAACUGUAUGAGCCAUUUCCUUGAGAUAAAUCUCUCUCUCUCUAUAUAUAUAUAUACACGCUUCACUGGUUUUGCUUCCCUAGAGAACUGAGCCUAAGACAUCAGACUAGAGUUAGCAUGGGUUAUUAGGAAAAGAAAGCUGUGAUUACCAUGGAGACUAUUUGGCAAUAAGAAAUAACAAUAAUGAUGUUUGAUUUAAGCCUUUUCUCCUCAGGGCUCACAUAUGCAAUAAUUUCUUUUCAUAAUAUACUGAGAGUGUAGGGAGGAACGGGUAUCAUUAUCUCCAUUUAAUAGAAGGUGAAACUGAGGCACAGAGAAAGGAUUUGUAUGUGAGCAGAGUGACUCAUUGGUAGGAUUGGAAAUAGAAAAAUAUCUUCUAGAUUUCUGGUCCUGGGGCCUCUGACUAUAAAUUCCCUUCUGCUGAUACUGGGCAGCAAAAAAAAAAACAAAAAACCAAAAAUGAAACCUGCUGCCGUCGUGUUGUUUCUGAGUCAUAGAGGCCCUAUACGACAGAGUAGAACUGCCCCAUGGAGUUUCCAAGGAGCACCUGGUGGAUUCAAACUGCCAACCUUUUGGUUAGCAGCCUGAACCACUAUGCCACCAGGGUUUCCACUGGGCAGCAAAAGGGUACCCCAAGUCCUCAAAAAACAGUAGGAGUUAGCUCAUCUCUUGAGCUUUCCAAACAGAUGCCGUGCAGAGGUGAUGGCUAAAUAACAUAGGCGUUGGUUGGAGAGCCACAGUUUUCUAAGGUAUUUACUUCAUUGUUUCUAACUUCAUUAGGUCAAGAAAAGAGAAAAUUAUAAUUUCCGUGAGCUUUGUUUUCUUGGCUUAGAAGCCACGAGCCCCAGUUAAAAGGCUCCCUGAAUAAGUGGCUCCUCUGUGUUCAGGCGGAGACCACCCCCUGACCCAGAGAUGUGCUUUCGCAACAUUCAGAUGGAGAUUUUCAGAGGUCCUAAAUAAGACAGACAACACAAUCCCAUAGUCAAAAGUCAGACCUAUUUUAAUCUCUGAGUGAGGCUAUUACUCUAGGACAAGGCCCUUCUUGUCUGAUUCCCUGCUAUUUUCAGUGAUUCACAAGCCUAAAUCUCUUUCAUCUGAGAGUACGGAGCUACAUCCCUCUUUCAGAUUUGUUUGUGAGUUAAAAUAGUUCCCAUCCUCACUGUUCUUGAAGUGUCUUCUUAUAGUCAAACAAUUCCUCUGGCUGUGAGCCUAGAUGAGCCCCUGGGGAGGGAGAGCCAGGGCCCACUUGGAAGGCAACACCAGGGAAGAAUCCAGAGAGUGGCCGGAAGUUGGGUUGCUGCUUGCUGGGAUGGUCCCACGGAGGCUCUGAGCCAAUAACCCAGCAUGGUUGGGGGAUUGACUUCUUUUAGAGAAGGCCGGUGCUCUGGACAGCUUCAGCAUCACAGUCACGCACGUGCUGGUCUUCUACUAUCUGCUGAAGCAUACACAUGCCAGUGUUUUGGUCCAAGUCCCAUCAUUCUAGUACCCAGUGGAGUUAGGAUGAAAGACUCUCUUAGUUUCUUGCUGACACAUGCCCCAUAUUCAGUCAUAACUGGUCCACUUGGAUCGACUGUAUUCAUAUUUAUGGGUUAUUUUUCCAAAGUGAAUGCUGAACUAUCAAAGACUUUAUCCAGUUUUCAUAUAUCCUAGAGUUUUUGAAAGGAACCCUGGUGGCACAAUGGUUAAGUGCUGGGCCACUAACUGACAGGUUAGCGCUUUGAACUCAUCAGCUGCUCCAUAGGAGAAAGAUGUGGCAGUCUACUUCCAGAAAGAUUAUAGCUUUGGUGUUUUUGAGUUUGCUAGUUUUCUGCUUUUUUCUUAUAUCUAUGUCUAUGGUUGAAUUGGAAACCCUGGUGGCAUAGAGGUUAAGAGCUGCGGCUGCCAGCCAAAAGGUCGGCAGUUUGAAUCCACCAGGAGUUCCUUGGAAACCCUAUGGGGCAGUUCUACUCUGUCCUAUAGGGUCGCUAUGAGUUGGAAUCGACUUGGCGGCAGUGGGUUUGGUUUGGCUUUUGGUUAUGGUUGGAUUCUCUGAAGUCACUGUUUUUAAUUGUUUAAUACUUCAAUUUGUUGGAGGCAGAGAAGGGUUUGAGAAAUGUGGCCUGAGCUAGGCUUCAGAGGAUCUGAAUAGAGUAAUAAUGACUUACCAUCUAUUGAGUGCUUGUUCCUUGCUAGGCACUGUGCAAGAGCAUUACAUGUACAAUGAAGCCAGGACCUGUAUAAGGCGGAGGCCUGUCAGGGAAGGGCAACUCAAAUAUUUCCCACUAAAAUGGGUGAUAGAAAAGUGAUAACCCUGCACCCUGUCAAAGGUAGAAAACUUGCGAGAUCCAGAAAAACAAGGCAGUCCUGUAGAAUUCUGGCUGUCGCAGGUUUCACAGUAUUACCUAACUUAAUUGUCAUAAGAAUCCCAUGGGAUCAUUUACAGAUAAUAAAAUGAAGGUUUAGGGGUGUUAGGUAAUAUUUGCCAAGUGCCACAAUUAGCUUGUGGAUACAAUCAGGAUUUCAUCUCAGGUGUUCAAGCUGCUAUACACAGUAUACAUCCAAUUUUGUUGCAACUUUGAAAAUAAAUGUUUGACUCUCCAUCCAAUGCCAAUGUCUUGGUGAAGCUCAUAAAAUAAAAUAUUUUCUCUUUUCUUUCUUUACUCUCUCUGUCUCUAAAGAAAAGGUCCCCGAAGUCAGCGAGAAACUCUGGUGAGUUGCCCUUUUCUUUUGUUUAUAGGAGGAAAUGUGAACUUCAUGGUUGUUCCACACAUUCUUGCCACUUCCCCAAAUCAAAGAAAAAAGCAUGGUUCUGAUGCAUGUUUUCAUAUCAAAAGGUCAAAACCAAAGGUCCUUUAGCUUGCCACGAGGAAACAGUGGGAAGAGAGCAUUGUCACAAAAAUACCAGGAGCUGCAAAAAAUUUUUAAAAAGUUUUGUGGGGGAUAACAUUUUGUUUCUGAGUUCUGGUCCAAAUCUAAUGUUUUCAGAAGUAGCAAUUCAGCAGGAGACUGAAGGCGUUUGGAUUUUUUUGUUGAGUCAACAUCCUACCCACAUAAUGAAACGAAGAAUUGAUUACCACUACCCCUCCCCUCAUCUCUCCUGACAAGUAAACAAAAAGUAAGCACUGUUUUUGCUGUAGGGUAUGUCUACAUCCUAGAGCAAGACGGAGAGUUAAGCCAAUACUAAUCCAAAAUUUCAAGUCAAAGAAAAAGUGAUUUGCCUUUAAUUAUCUAAUAAAAAUGUUAUGGAAGCCUGAAUUAUCUACAUACACUCUUCUCUUUGCUUGGUAUAAACAUAGUGACUUUGUGUUUGGGUCAUUUUACUUUACAAUUAUUCCUCAAGAUUUUCUAGUUACUAGAGAAGUUGGAAACCCUGGUGGUAUAGUGGUUAAGUGCUAUGGCUGCUAACCAAAAGGUCAGUAGUUCAAAUCCACCAGGCGCUCCUUGGAAAAUCUAUGGGAGGCAGUUCUACUCUGUCCCAUAGAGUCGAUAUGAGUCAGAAUCAACUCGAUAUCAAUGGGAUCUGGUUUGGUUGGUUUUUUUACACAAGCUCAGCUGCUAACCAAAAGAUCAGUUCGAAUCCACCAGCCACUCUUUGGAAACCCUAUGGGGCAGUUCUGCUCUGUCCUAUAUGAUUGUGAUGAGGCAGAAUCGACAGCAAUCGGUUUAGUUUUGAUUUUUUAGACUUAGCUCAAGGAGCCCUGGUGGCACAGUGGUUAAGCACUCUACUGCUAACGGAAAGGUCGGCAGUUCAAACCCACUAGCUGCUCUGUGGGAGAGAGAUGUGACGAUCUGCUUCCUUAAAGAUUGCAGCCUUGGAAACUCUUUGGACAGCUCUACUCCGUCCGGUAGGGUCGGUAUGAGUUAGAAUUGAUUCGGCAGGCAAUGGGUUUGGUUUGGUUUGGUUUAGACUAAGCCCGUGUGAGGAGAGGUAGCUUCAAGUUCUAUUCACAGGGAAGGGCUGGGAUCUAAGGUUUGGUUUUUAGGUCACCGCCAAUGCUGGGGAAGGAUGCAAACAGGUGUUCUCAGUGCCAACUUCACAUGAGCAUCACCUGCGGAGCUUUUAAAAAAGCAGACUGUUGGCUCUGGCCCCCUCUCAGGCCAACAGGGUCAGGAUCUCUGGGAAUGGAGCACAGGCAAGGCUGUUUCCUAAAAUUCCCUACUGAUUCAGAGACAGUAAUCUUUGAGAAUCAGUGGAUUGUAUCAUCACCCUGGUGGUGGGACAUAUAACAAAGCUGGAGAAUACUUCAUUCAACUCACUUGUCUGAAUGGUCUGCAGACUUUUGGCUUUUAAGAAUAUUGAAAAGAGAUGAGGCCUUUUUUUAAUAGCAUUGUGACCUUUCAUAUCAGUCUAAAAAGAAAAUGCCUUUCAGUUCUCCAACCUAGUUAUAAAAUCAAAUUCUAAAACACAAAAGUUCCUUUACGAAACUGAAAAAUGAAAAAUCUGUAUGUUCUUGUAAGUACUGCCGAAGAGAGAACAAUGCAGAUAAAAAAAGUAUUUAAAAUUAUUCAUGAGUUGCUUUCACUAAGUCCUUUGAUUUUACACUUGGAUAACUAUUUACACAGCUACAACCAUCUACCAUAUCCAUUUGAUGAUUUAAAAUAGUGGUUCUCAUGCAUCAAAAUUACAGUUGGCUUGGGAAACCACGGAUUAAACCAUUUGCCGUCAAGUCAGCUCCAACUCAUACAGACCCCAUGUGUGUCAGAGUAGAAUUGUGCUCCAUAGGAUUUUCAAUGGCUGAUUUUUUGGAAGUAGAUCACCAGCCCUUUCUUCCAAGGCACCUCUGGGUGGACUUAAACUAGCAAACUUCAGUUAGCACUCAAUAGCUUCACAAUUUGCUCACGGGUGGAUUAACGAGUACACACAGGUUUAUAUUAAGCAAGGUACACAUGGGCUUACUUGUGUUUACUCACUAAUCUGUAGUGCACAACUUUACACGAGUUUUACCACAUCUUAGAAAUUCUGCACUACAGAUUAGUCAGUAAACACAAGUAAGCCUGUGCAUAUCUUGUUUAUUGGGUAAUCCAUCUCUGCCUUUGCACCACACAGGGACACCAAAACACAGAUUGCUGGGCUGCAUUCCAGAGUUCCUGAUUUAGUGGGUCAGGGGUAGGACUGAGUAAUUUGCAUUUCUAACAAGUUCCCAGAUGAUGCUGAUGCUGCUGGUCCUGAGACCACAGAAGACCAAGGAAGAGCUUGAACACCUCUCCCAAAACAGCUCAUCAUAUCUUAAAUUGUGGGGAACAAAUGUGAAUAUUACUUUAAUAUUAUUUUUUCACUCCAAAAAGAAUUUGAAACAAUUCUCUAAAAGUAUAUAUAAUAUAUUAAAAUUUUAAAAUAAAAAAGGUGAGGUAAUUUUGAUGAAAAGUAAUGACUGAAUAAAAAAAAAGCCAAAAAACUAAACCCAUUGCCGAUGAGUUGAUUCCGACCCAUAGCGACCCUACAGAACAGAGUAGAACUGACUUGUAGGGUUUCUGAAGAGCGGCUGGUGGAUUUGAACUGCCAACUUUUUGGUUAGCAGCAGUAACUCUUAACCACUACAUCACCAGGGCUCCAAAGGUUGAAUAGUAGAAUAAAAUUGGGUAGCACAUUUAUAUAGUAUAUCAAUUUUAAGAAAAAGUAAGAUAAAGAUUAAGUGUAUUUCACAUUUAACUGAAAUAUACAUUAGAGAGAAUCAAUUCUAUAAAACAAAUCAUUUUAUACUGAGCUUUUUCUAAUUUUUGAACUGCUUUGAAACUUGAGAGAUAACAUUUAACCGCUCUAAAACAAAGUAAAAAUGGAAAAUUGCCUGGCUCACCCAAGGGAUAACUGCCAAUGGUGUGAAAUCCUGUUCUGCUCUUCCUUAUGUAUGUAUGUAGCUUGCUUUCAAACAGAAUGCAGUAACAUAGUGAGUGAUGACAGGCCUGGUUUAUUUAAUAAAACUGUGUAUAGUAUAUAACUGAACUGAAAACUUAUCUACUUGAAGGCUUGAAACUUCAGACUGAUUAUCUACAUGGGAGCAGAAAGUCGAAAGCAGAAAGUAGUCCUAGCAAAUGAAGCAGGUAAGCAAACUGCCAGGCGAAGAAGUGGAGAGCAAACACUUGGAGCCUACUCUGCACCAGGACCAGGUAGAGCUGCCCCAUCAGGUCUCUGAGGCUGCAGACUGCCACAUCUUUCUCCUGCAGAGCGGCUGGUGGAUUCGAGCCACUGACCUUUCGAUUACCAGCUGAGCGCUUAACCACUGUGUCACCAGGACUGCUUGAUAACAGGUAAACAAUGUCAAAAAAAGGGAAAAUUUAGAAAGGUGUAUAUGGGUCAUAGGACCUAAAAACAAUAUCUUCCUUGAACCUGAUGUACUCCAAUAAGUGCUCUAAUGAAACUACCAAUACAGUAAAUUGGGAGAAAUUUGACACUCUAAUAACAAGUUUUUGGCCCAGGUAUAAUGACCUGCAAUUAAAAACAGACCAGGUUAAAAGGAUAUACACUUUGAAAAUCCAUCUUUUAAAAAAAAAAAAAGGCAGAUUUUGUAAUUCGAUGCUUCAUACUUUAGUAAAUGAGGCAGCGGCGGUUCAGUGGUAGAACCCUAGCCCUCCAUGCCGGAGACCCAGGCACAAUUCCUGACCAUUGCAGCUCGUGCACAACGACCCCCUGUCUGUCAGGCUUGUGUAUUACCAGGACAAAUUACCCAACAAGCAAGGUAAGCAUAGGCUUACGGCAUCAACAAAACAGCGGCACCAGUUCUUGAAAGCAAAGAUCCAUAGAUGCCAAGAUACAGGACACAAGGAAAAGUGAGCACCGAGGUGGAAGGGAACUGGCAGGGCACUAAAUGAAACUGAUACCAGCUCCAGUGCUUGAGAAUAUGCCGGCCAGAAAUAAAGUUCACGCAGGGUCAAGAGAGUGCCCGUGCACAGGGUUGUUUAAGCUAUGAGGCUCCUACCACUUCAACACCUUUGUUGACAUCUGUCUGCUAUGCACUAUCAUCCUAUGUAAUUGAAACUCCUUAUCCUGGUGGAUCUCUUGGGAGUGUACUAUUUCCAAUAAACAAGAGAUGGAGGUGGGCUGCCAAGUAUAACUCUUGUUUCAUUCACUCAAUAUGCAAUUGGAUCCAACAUGAGUGGUUACCGGGCAAGGGUGAAUUAGAUUAAUAGACAAUAGGUCUCUGAUCCGUUUUUAGAGGACUGUCUUAUACGUCCACGUCUGCUGAUCCAGCAACUCCAGCCAGGAGGGCCAGCAAUGCUCUUUACCAGGAUACAAACACAAGGUUGUGCUCUCGCACACAUCCUGGUGAACAACCAGUGGGAAUUCCAGUCCCAGAUGACACUCAAAAGCGAGUGUCUUAGUCAUCUAGUACUGUUAUAACAGAAAUACUGCAAGUGGAUGGCUUUAACAAAAAAAAAUUUAUUUUCUCACAGUCUAAUAGGCUAGCAGUCCAAAUUAAGGCAUCAGCUCCAGCAGAAGCCUUUCUCUCUCUCUGUCGGCUCUGGAGGAAGGUCUUUCUUGUCAAUCUUCCCCUGGACUAGGAGCUUCUCUGCGCAGGAACCCCAGGCCUAAAGGAUGUGCUCUGCUCCUGGUGCUUCUUUCGUGGUGAUAUGAGGUUCCAUCUCUGCUUGCUUUUCUUUGCUUUUUUUCUCUUGAGAGAUAAAAGGUGGUACAGGCCACACACUAGGGAAACUCCCUUUACAUGGGCUUAGGGAUGUGACCUGGGUAAGGGUGGUGUUACAAUCCCACCCUGAUUCUCUUUAAUAUAAAAUUACAAUCACAAAAUAGAGGACAACCACACAAUACCGGGAAUCAUGGCCUGGCCAAAUUGAUACACACAUUUUUGGGGGGAUAUAAUUCAGUCCAUGAAAAAAAAGGACAGGGGGGUAAUUCGAAUAAGUUGACCGUUGCAAUGAAUUCAAUCAAGCUGCUUUUUAACUGUAUAGAAUUUAUGUAGAGUUAUGUCACAAGUUCUAUAAACGAUAAUACUUAUAACUUUAAAAUGUUUGUCAAAAGAUAAGUGGUAAUUUUGGUGAAGGGUAAGACAGUACACAAUACUGGGAAGCCAGCACAACCUGUACAAGGCAAGGCCAUGGUAGCUCCAUAGACACAUCCAAACUCCCUGAGGAACUGAAUUGCUGGGUUGAGGGCUAUGGGGACCAUGGAUGGUCUCAGGGAACAUCUGGCUCAAUUGGCAUAACGGAGCUUAUAAAGAAAAUGUUCUACAUUCUACUUUGGUGAGUAGCAUCUGGGGUCUUAAAAGCCUGUGAGCAGCCAUCAAGGAUAUUUCACUGGUCUCACCUCUUCAGGAGCAAAAAGAAUGAAGAAAACUAAAGACAGAAGGGAAAGAUUAGUCCAAAGGACUAAGGGACCGCAUCUACCAUGGCUUCCGCCAGACUGAGUCCAGUACAAUCAGAUUGUGCCCAGUUACCACCACUGACUGCUCUGACAGGGACUACAAUAGAGGGUCCCAGACAGAGGUGGAGAAAAAUGUAGAACAAAAUUCUAACUCAAAAAGAAAGACCAGGCUUGCUGGCCUGACAGAGACUGGAGAAACCCUGAGAGCAUGGCCCCUGGACACCCCUUCAGCUCAGUAAUGAGGCCACUCCUGAGGUUUACCCUUCAGACAAAGAUUGAACAGGCCCAUGGAACAAUACAAGACUAAAGGGGCGCACCAGCCCUGGGGCAGGGACUGGAAGGCAAGAGGGAACAGGAAAAACUGGUAAUAGGGAACCCAGGGUUGAGAUGGGAGAGUGUUGACAUGUCAUGGGGUUGUUAAUCAAUGUCAUACAACAAUGUGUGUACUAAUUGUUUGAUGAGAUACUAGUUUGUUCUGUAAACCUUCAUCUAAAGUUCAAUCAAAAAAUACUGAAAAUAUGUUUGUCAUAAAUGUGGAUGCAAUUUAGCGUGCAUUUAAUAUAAUACCAACAUGGGUAAUAAUUUAAUGUAAUACUAACAUGGCAAAUGUCCAAAAAUACUGGAAAUAUUAAUAUUUAUCUAACAUGAAAGUUUGAAUUUAUGCAUCAAGCAAGUUUCCUUUUUUAUUGUCUGUUGUGGGGGACGCAGUGCUUGAUAUUACUCUAGAUAUGCUAAUAAACAAGGUAUUAGUCUCAUUAAAAGGACACAAAAUUCAAUAUUUAUUGUGCAAAGUAUGUUCCUGUUUUGCAACAAUAAGUAUGUUUCUGAAUUUGUCUUCCAAGAAAGCAACAAAGGGCAUGAAUAUACUUGAUGAAUUCAUGAAAGAAUCCAAGAAAUUAGUGCAGGCUUAUCCCAAUGAGUUAAAUAUAACCCUUUACAGAGAAGUACGACAAUCUCAUUCUCACAUGAGAGCUAAGUUUAUAGAUUCGGGAAAGACAAAUUUUACUCAUGUAGGCACGUAUGAUUCCAUAAUAGAAGAUAAAACACAAUGCAUAGUUCCCAAUGUUGAAAAUGCUUUACACGUAUUCCUGACUAAUGAUCACCAACUGCACAACAGAAUGCUCAUUUUCAUUCCUAAAGAGACUCAGAAAGCCUCAGCAUACAACAAAGAUUCAAGAAAGACUCUAUUCAUUAUCCUUAUUAUGUAUGGAAAUAGAUAUUGUUUGGCAGCUUAAAUGUGAUGAAAUCAUUGUAGAAUUUGUAAAAGCAAAGAAUAGAAAGGAACAUUUUUAAUUAUAACGUGUGAGAGAUGAGAGAUCUAUUUAAAAAUAAAAUAUAGUAAUUUGUUGCAAUAUUUGUUUUCUGACCAUUAAAUUUUCUUUUAUGGCAUUUUUUCAUUUGUUCAUUUAUAAUCAUAGCAUGUAGCAUGAAACAAGCAUCAAAAUUGAAGUAAGACCCAUUUAAAACAAAAUUGGUGAAAGAAAAUUUUUUGUUCUGGAAGAUCAACAGAAUUUUAUAUUGAUUGUUGAAACAACUAAGUUCACUGACUUGUUUUCCUUGUCAUAGACUAUGUCGAAUAUUCUUUUUGUAGAAAAUGUGGUAUAUAGUAAAAACCUUAGUAUCCCACAUCCACUAAAAAUUUUAUAACCCAGUUCAUCUCAUUGUGCUAAAGUGGCAUAUUCCACUUCUGUGUUCAAUUGCUGAUAUUAUAGUUGCAUUUUAAAAAGAAGUUACAUCGUGGAUAGCUAAGACACACACAUACAAGCAUAUAUACACGUGUAUAUAUAGCAUGCCUGACUUGAAUGGGUGAGUAAGCAGAGGAGGGGAUAAACAAUUAUCAGUGUUUAGGGGCCUUACAUGCCUUAAUCUGUCCCUGUGUGUUGCUCUCAUGCUGAACAGAUUUCAGCGGAGCUUCUAAACUAAGAUGGACUAGGAAGAAAGGUCUGGCAAGCUACUUCCAAAAAUUAGCCAGUGAAAACCCUAUGGGUCACAGUAGUCUGAUCUGCAACUGAUCAUGGGGCCAGCAUUUUUUUCCAUUCUGUAUGGGGUUGCCAUGAGUUGGGACCUGACUCCAUGGCAGCUUACUACAACAUACUGUAGUAACUGCUGAGCUGGGGGACCUUCAGUGUCUGCAGUAGCUACGAGGAAACAAUGCUUGCCCCACACCCUAGAGCAAAUACACUGGUCCUCCCAAUUAGUCUGUUUACUUGGAACACUUGAAGCCAAGUUUGCCGGCAGCUAACUAAAGCCUUGUUCGCUUGAGGGCUGUGCACCUCUCUAUGAGAGAUGUCAAUUACCACUUGACAAAUUGUAUCAACUUCUUGGCCAAAUGGCAGGCAGCUGUCAAUGUGGACACAAGAAGAGUCACAUAAUUCAAGAAAAGCAGAGGUAUUUGCAAAAGCAAAUCUCUUAGGAGCUUAGCAAGCCUGCAAGCAUUACAGCUUCCUUCAUCUUUCACUUCAGCAGAGUACACGAUGCUCAAGAAAGAUACAAACUAUUUUCAGGUCCCAUGACCCAUAUACACCUUUCUAAAUUUUUUUUUUUUGGACAUGGUUUACCUCUUUAAAAAGUGGUAAAGCAUAAAUGUUAUUGCAUAGAGCACUUUUACUUGUGAAGGUACUUUUAAAUUAUGUUUGUUACUACAUUUACUUUUGUUGCUGUUAUGAUAUUUAACCUUGAAUUCAGAAUCCAGGAAUGAGAAAAGAAACAAUCAAUUCAUGAUAGGUAUUAAAUGUUAACCUAAAAUGAUUAGUAUACAACCAGUGCUUCUCAAAGUGUGGACCAAAAUCUGUUUUGUAAAAACAAAACAAAAAAACAAAUUCCACUUCUCAUCUCUUAGGUGUGGGGCGCACAUAGUGACUGCCUUCCAAAGAGUACAGUGCAGAAAAGGAAGGGGGAAGAAAAAGUAACUUUACAGCAGCGAAACCUCACGAACACUACCACAGCCAGGUGAUCAAGGUCGACAUCAGCAGUCAUAAAUCAUGUUGAUAGUAUGUAACCUUGAUAUGAUAUGAUGAAAAUGACACUUUACCUUUGUGGUUUUCCUUCCAGUAACCCAUAAACCUAAUCUAAUUAUGAGAAAAAAAUCAGAAAAAGUCCCAUAGUGGGGCAUCCUGCAAAAUAUCUGAGCAGUACUCAUAAAAAUGUCAAUGUCAUAAAAAACAAGAGAAGUCUGAGAAAUAGUCACAGCCAAGAUGACUCUAAGUAGACAUGAUGACUAAAUAUAAUGUGGCAUCCUGGAUGGGACCCUGGAACAGAAAAAGGACAUUAGACAAAUACUAAGGGAAUCUGAAUAAAGUAUAAAACCAAAACACGAAACCCACUGCCCUUGAGUUGGUUCCGACUCAUAGCGACCCUGUAGGAUAGAGUAGAACUGCCCUGUGGGCUUUCGAAGGAGCGCCUGGCGGAUUUGAACUGCCAAUGUUUUGGUUAACAGCCAUAGCACUUAACCACUAUGCCACCAGGGUUUCCCAAAUAAAGUAUAUAUAUAAAAAAAAACAACCCAGUGCUUCAGUUAAUAAAGAAACCCUGGUGGCGUGGUGGUUAAAGCUAUGGCCGCUAGCCAAAAGGUUGGCAGUUCAAAUCCACCAGGUGCUUCUUGGAAACCCUAUGGGGCAGUUCUACUCUGUCCUAUAGGGUCGCUAUGAGUCGGAAUCAAUUCAACGGGAACAGGUUUGCUUUUAACGGGUUAGAUAAUAAUAUAUCAUUAUCGGUUUAUUAAUUGUGACAAGUGUACCAUAAUAAUGUAAGAUGUUAAUGAUAGGAGAAACUGGGUGUGGGGUAUUUGGGACUCUCUUGUACUAUCUCCUCAAUUUUUUUGUAAAUCUAAAAUUGUCUUAAAAAUGGCCUAUUAAAAAAAAAAAGAUUCCUUUCUUCAUUCAAGACCAACUGAACUCAUAUCUCUUGGAGUAGAGUGCAGUUAUCUAUAUUUUUUAUUAGCUUGCCAUGAUUCAGCAGUUUCUUGUAGAUCUCUAUCCUCUACCUGGGGCCCUGGUGGAGCAAUGUUUAAGAGCUCAGCUGCCAACCAAAAGAUCAGCAGUUGGAAUGUACCAGCUGCUCUUUGGAAACUCUAUGGGGCAGUUCUACUCUGUCCUAUACGGUUGCUAUGAGUUGGGAUUGACUAGAAGGCAACGGGUUUGUUGUGGUAGAAGAUUAGUCCUGGGCCCUGAGGGUUUGAGGUCUUUAAUACCAGUACCAGUUGCCAUCAAGUCGACUCUAACUUAUGGCAUCAGAGUAGGACUCUGCUCUAUAGGAUUUUCAAUGGCUGAUUUUUCAGAAGUAGAGUGCCAGGCUUUUCUUUCAAGGUACCUCUGCGUGGACUUGAACCUCCAACCUUUCAGUAGCAGCCAAGUGUGUUAACCAUUAACACCACCCAGGGACUCUGAGGUCUGAAUUAAAAAAAAAAAUUUUUUUUUUUUAGGAGUGUAAAAAUAAACAGUAAGUGCAUCUGUUUUUAAAUUCUCCCUAUAGCUUCCCCAUUGCAGAAUUCAUACCAAAGGGCCUCAGAUGUGGGUGCCUCAUGCAAUUAAGUGAAUGAAGUAUUGAGAACCCAGAGGUUCUGUGUUGUGUGUAGACACUUUGGUCUGCUCACACUCAGCUCAGAUCAUGGUGCAGAGUGAAUGUGGUUCCUUCAGUGUGACUCCAACUGUUCCCCUGUAAGUGACCCCUCUUAGAUGGCCUCCUGAUGGUGGGCCGUUCACCUGGAGUGAUGAAGGCACACUGAAGUGGGAGUCAGGAAACAGGCUCCCUGAUCUUGGUCCCACUGCUACUACUGACCCCUAUGUCACAAGGACAGCUUCCUCUUAAUCCCUUGGACUUGGGUUCCUCACCUAGAACCAAAAGGGUUCUAUUAGGUGAUAUGUGUAUUUAGUGAUCUUUCAAAUCUCUUUUAUAUCAGAUGACCUUAGAUAUUAGAUUAUCAUUCAAAUCUCUUUUAGGUGUGACAAUCGAUUCUGAGAUUUUCCUACAAGGAAGCAGGGAGAGUCUUUGUUCACGAAGCACUGAAAAGUGCCAAAGGAGCCUUGUCUAGAAACAUGUAUUCCUCACCCUACAGAGAAGAGGCUAGAAAAGUGUGACUUUGUAGUCUGGAGCGUAGCAGCCAUCACUGCCAAAGGCAAGCUGAGAAAACCCUCCCUGUGACAGGUCCAAUUCCAACUUAGUUCAGGCUCUCUGGGUAAGAGAGAGGCGCAGAGCUAACAAUCUUCCCGUUGUCUGUGGGGUGGGUCAUGGUCCCGCCUGAUCCACACCCUUUCGGCACCACCUUCAACACACAGAGAGCAGCACCCUUGGAUGGGGGAGGAUACGAUUAUAGAGCAGACACCAGUUGCUUACAUUGGAUUUCAGCAGUUAAAUUGCUGGGUGUUCUCAUAAUGUGUUGUUUACUCUAAGGCACUUUAUCUGUGUUUAUAAACCAUCUACUUGGUUUUCCUGCCAACUUCAGUGUGGGAUAACUGCAAUUAAAAAAAAAAAGAAACCAAGAGCCAAAAGUCUAAAGUUGUCAUUUAUUAAACAAAAAGAAUACCUGACUUUCUAAGCUAACGUAUGUUCUAGCUAAUGCAAUUAUUUUUUAAAGCAUAACCAAAAUGAGAAAAUGUCUUCUAAUUGCCAAAAAAAUUGUACAGUCGAUAGACUAUAACUGUAUAAAAUCUUAUGGUGAAAAUUUCAUUAAUAUUUUCUUUUUACAUUGUUACUGCAUACACACAUUUUUAUACAAAUAACGUGCACCUUCUAUGUUUGUUUGCCAACUCCUUGUUCCCCCCGUGAGGUAUUUUUGUAAAU
Molecule: long non-coding RNA, 22858 nt
Organism: Loxodonta africana (African savanna elephant)
Lineage: Eukaryota; Metazoa; Chordata; Mammalia; Proboscidea; Elephantidae
Exons: 3
Source: RefSeq, a predicted model, not a curated record